This 1134-nucleotide ribosomal RNA is filed under the name Hydnellum melanocarpum. RNAcentral describes it as "SSU rRNA". It matches the Rfam family "Eukaryotic small subunit ribosomal RNA", at positions 38 to 1179 of the family's 1831-position model. Lineage: Eukaryota; Fungi; Basidiomycota; Agaricomycetes; Thelephorales; Thelephoraceae. The record is from RNAcentral.
CAAGGAUUAGCCAUGCAUGUCUAAGUAUAAGCAAAUUUGUACUGUGAAACUGCGAAUGGCUCAUUAAAUCAGUUAUAGUUUAUUUGAUGGUACCUUGCUACAUGGAUAACUGUGGUAAUUCUAGAGCUAAUACAUGCAAUAAAGCCCCGACUUCCGGAAGGGGUGUAUUUAUUAGAUAAAAAACCAACGCGGUUCGCCGCUCCUUUGGUGAUUCAUAAUAACUUCUCGAAUCGCACGGCCUUGUGCUGGCGAUGCUUCAUUCAAAUAUCUGCCCUAUCAACUUUCGAUGGUAGGAUAGUGGCCUACCAUGGUUUCAACGGGUAACGGGGAAUAAGGGUUCGAUUCCGGAGAGGGAGCCUGAGAAACGGCUACCACAUCCAAGGAAGGCAGCAGGCGCGCAAAUUACCCAAUCCCGACACGGGGAGGUAGUGACAAUAAAUAACAAUAUAGGGCCCUUUCGGGUCUUAUAAUUGGAAUGAGUACAAUUUAAAUCCCUUAACGAGGAACAAUUGGAGGGCAAGUCUGGUGCCAGCAGCCGCGGUAAUUCCAGCUCCAAUAGCGUAUAUUAAAGUUGUUGCAGUUAAAAAGCUCGUAGUUGAACUUCAGACCUGGCCGGAUGGUCUGCCUAACGGUAUGUACUGUCUUGGCCGGGCCUUACCUCUUGGUGAGCCAUCAUGCCCUUUACUGGGUGUGGUGGGGAACCAGGACUUUUACCUUGAGAAAAUUAGAGUGUUCAAAGCAGGCCUACGCCCGAAUACAUUAGCAUGGAAUAAUAAAAUAGGACGUGCGGUUCUAUUUUGUUGGUUUCUAGAGUCGCCGUAAUGAUUAAUAGGGAUAGUUGGGGGCAUUAGUAUUCAGUUGCUAGAGGUGAAAUUCUUGGAUUUACUGAAGACUAACUACUGCGAAAGCAUUUGCCAAGGAUGUUUUCAUUAAUCAAGAACGAAGGUUAGGGGAUCGAAAACGAUCAGAUACCGUUGUAGUCUUAACAGUAAACUAUGCCGACUAGGGAUCGGGUGACCUCAAUUUUAUGUGGCGCUCGGCACCUUACGAGAAAUCAAAGUUUUUGGGUUCUGGGGGGAGUAUGGUCGCAAGGCUGAAACUUAAAGGAAUGACGGAAGGCACCACCAGAUACCC